RNAcentral lists this ribosomal RNA (253 nucleotides) under uncultured bacterium. Its description in RNAcentral is "partial 16S ribosomal RNA". It matches the Rfam family "Bacterial small subunit ribosomal RNA", at positions 524 to 776 of the family's 1533-position model. The record is from RNAcentral.
UACGUAGGCAGCGAGCGUUGUUCGGAGUUACUGGGCGUAAAGGGUGCGUAGGCGGUUUUCCAAGUUUGGUGUGAAAUCUCCCGGCUUAACUGGGAGGGUGCGCCGAAAACUAGGAGACUUGAGUACCGGAGAGGUAAGCGGAAUUCCUGGUGUAGCGGUGAAAUGCGUAGAGAUCGGAAAGAACACCAACGGCGAAAGCACUCUGCUGGGCCGACACUGACACUGAGAGACGAAAGCUAGGGGAGCGAAUGGG